RNAcentral lists this ribosomal RNA (549 nucleotides) under uncultured Glomeromycotina. Its description in RNAcentral is "SSU rRNA". It matches the Rfam family "Eukaryotic small subunit ribosomal RNA", at positions 548 to 1098 of the family's 1831-position model. The record is from RNAcentral. Lineage: Eukaryota; Fungi; Glomeromycota.
UUGGAGGGCAAGUCUGGUGCCAGCAGCCGCGGUAAUUCCAGCUCCAAUAGCGUAUAUUAAAGUUGUUGCAGUUAAAAAGCUCGUAGUUGAAUUUCGGGAUCAAUUUAUUGGUCGUGCCAACGGUACGCACUGGUACAAUUGGUUUCUCCCUUCUGACGAAGCAUGAUGUCAUUAAUUUGAUGUCGUGGGGAAUCAGGACUGUUACUAUGAAAAAAUUAGAGUGUUUAAAGCAGGCUUUGGCUUGAAUACAUUAGCAUGGAAUAAUGAAAUAGGACGUUUGAUCUUAUUUCGUUGGUUUCUAAGAUCGACGUAAUGAUUAAUAGGGAUAGUUGGGGGCAUUAGUAUUCAAUUGUCAGAGGUGAAAUUCUUGGAUUUAUUGAAGACUAACUACUGCGAAAGCAUUUGCCAAGGAUGUUUUCAUUAAUCAAGAACGAAAGUUAGGGGAUCGAAGACGAUCAGAUACCGUCGUAGUCUUAACCAUAAACUAUGCCGACUAGGGAUCGGAUGAUGUUAAUUUUUUAAUGACUCAUUCGGCGCCUUACGGGAAAC